AGUGAACGCUGGCGGUAGGCCUAACACAUGCAAGUCGAACGGCAGCACAGGAGAGCUUGCUCUCUGGGUGGCGAGUGGCGGACGGGUGAGGAAUACAUCGGAAUCUACUCUGUCGUGGGGGAUAACGUAGGGAAACUUACGCUAAUACCGCAUACGACCUACGGGUGAAAGCAGGGGAUCUUCGGACCUUGCGCGAUUGAAUGAGCCGAUGUCGGAUUAGCUAGUUGGCGGGGUAAAGGCCCACCAAGGCGACGAUCCUUAGCUGGUCUGGGAGGAUGAUCAGCAACACUGGAACUGAGACACGGUCCAGACUCUUACGGGAGGCAGCAGUGGAGAAUAUUGGACAAUGGGCGCAAGCCUGAUCCAGCCAUACCGCGUGGGUGAAGAAGGCCUUCGGGUUGUAAAGCCCUUUUGUUGGGAAAGAAAUCCAGCUGGCUAAUACCCGGUUGGGAUGACGGUACCCAAAGAAUAAGCACCGGCUAACUUCGUGCCAGCCGCCGCCGUAA
Molecule: ribosomal RNA, 506 nt
Filed under: uncultured bacterium
Lineage: Bacteria
Description: partial 16S ribosomal RNA
Rfam family: Bacterial small subunit ribosomal RNA
Source: RNAcentral